GUUGGGCAUGGUGGCACGUGCCUGUAGUCUCAGCUACUCGAGAGGCUGAUGUAGGAGGAUCACUUGAGCCCAGGAGUUCUGGGCUGUAGUGCCUUACGCCGAUCAGGUGUCUGCACUAAGUUUGGCAUCAAUAUGGUGACCUUCCGGGAGUGGGGGACCACCAGGUUGCCUAAGGAGGGGUGAACCAGCCGAGGUGGGAAACGGAGCAGGUCAGAACUCCCAUGCUGAUCAGUAGUGGGAUUGCACCUGUGAAUAGCCACUGCAUUCCAGCCUGAGCAACAUAGCAAGACCCUGUCUCU
RNAcentral lists this signal recognition particle RNA (299 nucleotides) under Aotus nancymaae (Ma's night monkey). RNAcentral's name for it is "Metazoan signal recognition particle RNA (ENSANAG00000004132.1)". It matches the Rfam family "Metazoan signal recognition particle RNA". From Rfam's summary of the family: The signal recognition particle (SRP) is a universally conserved ribonucleoprotein. It is involved in the co-translational targeting of proteins to membranes. The eukaryotic SRP consists of a 300-nucleotide 7S RNA and six proteins: SRPs 72, 68, 54, 19, 14, and 9. Lineage: Eukaryota; Metazoa; Chordata; Mammalia; Primates; Aotidae. The record is from RNAcentral.